GUGCUUAUUUUUGCAACACAUGUAGAACAAUUAGAACAAUACAGAGAUUAGUAUAAUUCUUGCACAAGGAUGACAUGCAAAUUGGUGAAGCAUUCUACAUUUUU
Small nuclear RNA from Ictidomys tridecemlineatus (thirteen-lined ground squirrel), 104 nucleotides. NCBI's taxonomy places the organism in Eukaryota, Metazoa, Chordata, Mammalia, Rodentia, Sciuridae. The record is from Ensembl.